AACGCUAGCGGCAGGCCUAACACAUGCAAGUCGAACGGUAACAGAGAAGAGCUUGCUCUUUUGCUGACGAGUGGCGCACGGGUGCGUAACGCGUAUACAAUCUACCUUUUACAGGAGGAUAGCCUUUAGAAAUGAAGAUUAAUAUUCCAUAGUAAGUUGACUUGGCAUCAAGAUAACUUUAAAGUUUCGGCGGUAAAAGAUGAGUAUGCGUUCUAUUAGCUAGAUGGUGUGGUAACGGCACACCAUGGCAACGAUAGAUAGGGGCCCUGAGAGGGGGAUCCCCCACACUGGUACUGAGACACGGACCAGACUCCUACGGGAGGCAGCAGUGAGGAAUAUUGGACAAUGGGCGAGAGCCUGAUCCAGCCAUGCCGCGUGCAGGAAGACUGCCCUAUGGGUUGUAAACUGCUUUUAUACGGGAAGAAACCUAGUCACGUGUGACUAGCUGACGGUACCGUAAGAAUAAGGAUCGGCUAACUCCGUGCCAGCAGCCGCGGUAAUACGGAGGAUCCAAGCGUUAUCCGGAAUCAUUGGGUUUAAAGGGUCCGUAGGUGGAUAAUUAAGUCAGGGGUGAAAGUCUGCAGCUCAACUGUAGAAUUGCCUUUGAUACUGGUUAUCUUGAAUUAUUGUGAAGUGGUUAGAAUAUGUAGUGUAGCGGUGAAAUGCAUAGAUAUUACAUAGAAUACCAAUUGCGAAGGCAGAUCACUAACAAUAUAUUGACACUGAUGGACGAAAGCGUGGGGAGCGAACAGGAUUAGAUACCCUGGUAGUCCACGCCGUAAACGAUGGUCACUAGCUGUUCGAACUUCGGUUUGAGUGGCUAAGAGAAAUUGAUA
RNAcentral lists this ribosomal RNA (836 nucleotides) under uncultured Winogradskyella sp. Its description in RNAcentral is "bacterial SSU rRNA". It matches the Rfam family "Bacterial small subunit ribosomal RNA", at positions 32 to 862 of the family's 1533-position model. Lineage: Bacteria; Pseudomonadati; Bacteroidota; Flavobacteriia; Flavobacteriales; Flavobacteriaceae. The record is from RNAcentral.